Long non-coding RNA from Mustela lutreola (European mink), 486 nucleotides. RefSeq lists it as uncharacterized. The transcript is spliced from 3 exons. NCBI's taxonomy places the organism in Eukaryota, Metazoa, Chordata, Mammalia, Carnivora, Mustelidae. The record is from RefSeq and is a predicted model, not a curated record.
CUGCUCGCACAGUGAGGACCCCUCCUCUGGGUGGUCAGAGGGAAAGGACUGACCUCUCAUCUGAGACAAGGCACCUGCAGAGUCUUGAAGGUGCGGCCCGAACACUAUAAGGAGUAUUGUCUCCGACUCCUGCCCUAGUCAGUGCAUAGCCUGGGCUCAGCGUUCAAAAAUCAGAAGCUUCCCACAGAUUGCAGAUAAGACUAAAGGCAAGCAACUGGGAACCAUAAGCUAACGGACGAGCUGUUAAACCUCCUGGAAUUGACUAAAAUCUCCAGAAGGCUACCUCCCUAGCAUCUAUGGCAGUGCCCAGCACAUAGUUGGCAUUCGACAAGUUGUGGACCGAAGGAAGCCUAUCUUACGGUGCAAGAUUAAAACAGCGCAGGGGGAGAGGCGAACCCUGGUAGAUGAGUCAUCACUACAUGAGAAGUUCAGCAUCGCAAGAGAUAAGGAACAACGCAGGACAACAAUCGGAGUUCACAGGCAGUG